GGGCCGCUAGCUCAACUGGCAGAGCAACUGACUCUUAAUCAGUAGGUUCCGGGUUCGAGUCCCGGGCGGCUCA
This 73-nucleotide transfer RNA is filed under the name Dehalococcoidia bacterium. RNAcentral describes it as "tRNA-Lys". It matches the Rfam family "tRNA". From Rfam's summary of the family: Transfer RNA (tRNA) molecules are approximately 80 nucleotides in length. Their secondary structure includes four short double-helical elements and three loops (D, anti-codon, and T loops). Lineage: Bacteria; Bacillati; Chloroflexota; Dehalococcoidia. The record is from RNAcentral.